ACAAACUUGGUCAUUUAGAGGAAGUAAAAGUCGUAACAAGGUCUCCGUAGGUGAACCUGCGGAGGGAUCAUUACCGAUUGAAUGAAAGGCCGUUCCGCGGCGGUUCGGGGACGCUGGGUUUACCCGGCUGACCUGGCUGCCCGGGGCGGUCCCACCAAACCCUUGCGUCUCGAUUGUUUUGCCUCGGGGGCAGGUGCCGACCCGGCGCCCGCCCCCGGUGGCCAUCAUCCAACUCGUUGUUAACCGUUUGUCCGAGUAAUAAAGAAAUGGAAACAAAACUUUCAACAACGGAUCUCUUGGUUCUGGCAUCGAUGAAGAACGCAGC
RNAcentral lists this unclassified non-coding RNA (325 nucleotides) under uncultured fungus. RNAcentral describes it as "partial contains small subunit ribosomal RNA, internal transcribed spacer 1, and 5.8S ribosomal RNA". The stretch from base 1 to 73 matches the Rfam family "Eukaryotic small subunit ribosomal RNA", at positions 1759 to 1831 of the family's 1831-position model. The record is from RNAcentral. Lineage: Eukaryota; Fungi.